This 442-nucleotide ribosomal RNA is filed under the name uncultured bacterium. Its description in RNAcentral is "partial 16S ribosomal RNA". It matches the Rfam family "Bacterial small subunit ribosomal RNA", at positions 338 to 795 of the family's 1533-position model. The record is from RNAcentral.
CCUACGGGUGGCAGCAGUGGGGAAUAUUGGACAAUGGACGCAAGUCUGACCCAGCAACGCCGCGUGAAGGAAGAAGGCUUUCGGGUUGUAAACUUCUUUUAAGGGGGAAGAGCAGAAGACGGUACCCCUUGAAUAAGCCACGUCUAACUACGUGCCAGCAGCCGCGGUAAUACGUAGGUGGCAAGCGUUGUCCGGAUUGACUGGGUGUAAAGGGCGUGCAGGCGGAGAAACAAGUCAGAUGUGAAAUCCACGGGCUCAACCCGUGAACUGCAUUUGAAACUGUUUAGCUCGAGUGUAGGAGAGGUAAGCGGAAUUCCUUGUGUAGCGGUGAAAUGCGUAGAUAUAAGGAAGAACACCAGUGGCGAAGGCGGAUUACUGGACGGUAACUGACGGUGAGGCGCGAAAGCGUGGGGAGCAAACAGGAUUAGAUACCCGUGUAGUC